RNAcentral lists this ribosomal RNA (228 nucleotides) under uncultured bacterium. RNAcentral's name for it is "partial 16S ribosomal RNA". It matches the Rfam family "Bacterial small subunit ribosomal RNA", at positions 57 to 305 of the family's 1533-position model. The record is from RNAcentral.
GCAAGUCGAGCGGCAGCACUUCGGGUGGCAAGCGGCGAACGGGUGAGUAGUAGUUAGCAACUUGCCCUCCAGACGGGAAUAGCCACCGUAAUGGUGAUUAAUGCCCGAUAUGAGGAAACUUGAAAGGUGCGUUUGUACCACUGGAGGAUAGGGCUAACCCCUAUUAGCUUGUUGGUAGGGUAAUAGAGUAAAAAGGCGAUGAGAGGGAGACGGCCGGAGAGGGUGAUC